RNAcentral lists this ribosomal RNA (497 nucleotides) under uncultured bacterium. Its description in RNAcentral is "partial 16S ribosomal RNA". It matches the Rfam family "Bacterial small subunit ribosomal RNA", at positions 28 to 507 of the family's 1533-position model. The record is from RNAcentral.
GAUGAACGCUGGCGGCGUGCCUAAUACAUGCAAGUCGAGCGAACGGACGAGAAGCUUGCUUCUCUGAUGUUAGCGGCGGACGGGUGAGUAACACGUGGAUAACCUACCUAUAAGACUGGGAUAACUUCGGGAAACCGGAGCUAAUACCGGAUAAUAUUUUGAACCGCAUGGUUCAAAAGUGAAAGACGGUCUUGCUGUCACUUAUAGAUGGAUCCGCGCUGCAUUAGCUAGUUGGUAAGGUAACGGCUUACCAAGGCAACGAUGCAUAGCCGACCUGAGAGGAUGAUCGGCCACACUGGAACUGAGACACGGUCCAGACUCCUACGGGAGGCAGCAGUAGGGAAUCUUCCGCAAUGGGCGAAAGCCUGACGGAGCAACGCCGCGUGAGUGAUGAAGGUCUUCGGAUCGUAAAACUCUGUUAUUAGGGAAGAAAAUAUGUGUAAGUAACUGUGCCCAUCUUGACGGUACCUAAUCAGAAAGCAACGGCUAACUACGUG